UACGAAGGGGGCUAGCGUUGCUCGGAAUCACUGGGCGUAAAGGGUGCGUAGGCGGACUCUUAAGUCGGUGGUGAAAUCCUGGAGCUCAACUCCAGAACUGCCUCCGAUACUGGGAGCCUUCGAGUCCGGGAGAGGUGAGUGGAACUGCGAGUGUAGAGGUGAAAUUCGUAGAUAUUCGCAAGAACACCAGUGGCGAAGGCGGCUCACUGGCCCGGUACUGACGCUGAGGUGCGAAAGCGUGGGGAGCAAACAGG
This 254-nucleotide ribosomal RNA is filed under the name uncultured bacterium. RNAcentral's name for it is "partial 16S ribosomal RNA". It matches the Rfam family "Bacterial small subunit ribosomal RNA", at positions 524 to 776 of the family's 1533-position model. The record is from RNAcentral.